RNAcentral lists this ribosomal RNA (398 nucleotides) under uncultured Alphaproteobacteria bacterium. Its description in RNAcentral is "bacterial SSU rRNA". It matches the Rfam family "Bacterial small subunit ribosomal RNA", at positions 9 to 431 of the family's 1533-position model. The record is from RNAcentral. Lineage: Bacteria; Pseudomonadati; Pseudomonadota; Alphaproteobacteria.
GAGUUUGAUCGUGGCUCAGAACGAACGCUGGCGGCAGGCUUAACACAUGCAAGUUGAACGCGUGUAGCAAUACACGAGUGGCGCACGGGUGAGUAACGCGUGGGAAUAUGCCCUUCAGUACGGAAUAACGUCGGGAAACUGACGCUAAUACCGUAUAAUGUCUACGGACCAAAGAUUUAUCGCUGAAGGAUUAGCCCGCGUUGGAUUAGCUAGUUGGUGAGGUAACGGCUCACCAAGGCGAUGAUCCAUAGCUGGUCUGAGAGGAUGAUCAGCCACACUGGGACUGAGACACGGCCCAGACUCCUACGGGAGGCAGCAGUGAGGAAUAUUGGACUAAUGGGGGCAACCCGUGAUCCAGCCAUGCCGCGUGAGUGAUGAAGGCCCUCGGGUUGUAAAGC